Molecule: long non-coding RNA, 2397 nt
Filed under: Homo sapiens (human)
Lineage: Eukaryota; Metazoa; Chordata; Mammalia; Primates; Hominidae
Description: HSALNT0011889
Source: RNAcentral
GUGCUUUCUGGGGUCCUUCAGCAGCAGUGCAAUGAGGAGCAUGCACAGGAGAGAUUCUAUUUUCCUUGGAUGGCUUUCUUGAGCCUUGGAAAUCUGGCUCACCAGGAAUUCUAGGCUUCUGUUGUCCCUUGCUUCCUAUCUGAAAUAUUUGGCAACAUUUUCAGACAUCUUUGAUCAUCACAGUGGGGAGUAAAGCCAGCUGCAAUUAUAAAGAUGCACACACACAAAAGAGAAAGAGGAGCAAAAAGAGUGAAGAAAACAUGUCCAUUUAUCAGAAAAUAAAUAUACAAGUACAAUAGAAGAAAAGGGGGUAGAAAACAUUUUGAAGAUUUAGAAAGACCAAAAGCACAAUGAUGCCUUUCUUUUUACUCACAUUUGAUGACAUCCAUAGUGAGAAACAGCAGUUCCACUGUCCAACACCAGGAAAUGUUCUGACUGUUUCACCGCUCCAGCUAAUACUUACAGAGGUGUGGCCUAUUCCCACUUGUAUUGGGGGCUUUAGAAUCUGACUCCUUACAUUCCUAAGAUUAAAAGACAUCUUGUGCUGUUUUAUGUUCUGAGAAGGAUUGAUUACCACAAAGACAGAUCUAUAGAGAAUGUGAGUGGAAACUAUACGAGCUGCUAACGGGACAAGGCAUUUAAGAAUCAUCCGAGUUCUGCUCUUCUUGCUGGCUGGAGCUAAGAAUUCAAGAACAAACACCAGCAAAGAGAUUCAAUACAAAUAUCCAAUUUUGAGAUAAGGGAUGGAUAACCAUAGUGUGAGUUGAGCCACAGAAAUGUGGAUGAAUUCAAUAAAUAUUUGGAUGAUUGUUUAACAUUACUUCAUAAUUGAUGGGAAUAAAAAAGUAUAACAAAGAGAAGAAAUCAAGGCUGCAGCAUGACAAAAGGUUUAUAUUUUAACUUCAAGAAAUCACACAUACUCUGUUUUUUCCUCUACUGAAAGAUUAGACUAACAAUCCAAUUUACCUGGACAAAAUAAGCUUCUGGGAGAUUCUGAAAGUUUGUUAUCUUCCUUAUCCUUGCCUUUUUGUAUUUGAGAAUUAUAUCACCAUUCUCACCAUUCUAGGAUGUUUUCACUAAUAAUUUUUGAGAUUUAAUUUAUAAAUAUCAAGCUUCCUGGUUCUUGAAACCUACCCAUAGUUAACAACUGAUUCCUAGUUCUAGGGUUAACAACUGAUUCCUAGUUUCAGGGUUUUCCUGAAUAUUAUCUUUAUGCCAGCUUUAUAGCAUUUUGGAAGGCUCAUUUAUCCCACAUUAUGAUAUUCUCCUGCUUUCAAUUUCUCUGUGUCUUCUCGUUUCUCUUAAGGCUAAGCUGGACAUUGCAAACAGGAUAGUCUCUUCUAUCUUGCCCAGCCUUUUCUCCUAUCCCAUUUUUGCAUUCUCUCUAUUCUCUGAUCACAGAAUUGUUUUCAUUUCUGAAGGUACAACUAGUGUCACAUCUUAUGCACAUGCUGUUCCCUUUACUAGGAUUAUACUUUUCCCUUAAAUUAUCUACCCUUUGCUUGCUUUAUUCUGACUUAACUUCAGAUUAUGGCUCAAAUGUAUUUCCUCAUAGAAUUCUUCCUUGACACCUCAUAAUAAAUAAAGUUCACCAUAUUAAAUGCUUUCUUCUCUCCCUGUACUUGUUUCUUUUUAAAGAUAUUGUUGUUUAUUAACUACCUGUGUGAUUAUUUAAUAAUACCUUACUCAACAUUUCCUCAGCUCCCUGAGGUCAGAGAUUAUGUAUUUUGCUCUCCAUGGCCUUCCUAACAUCAAGCACAGUGACUAGUAAACAACUGGUUGUUACAGAUAUCAACAGUCACCUAUCUGGCACCCAUUUCUCACAUAUGCUGAUUGACAGAGCCCCUGUUUGAUUCAGGUGUGCAUGAUACCCAUGAACGACUCCGGGACUAUAUUUCUCAUUUCAACUCCUGAAGUAAUUUUUGCUUGAUUUAAACUGAUUGUUAUGAGCCAAUUCCUUUUGUAAAUGAUUGGCUUAGGCCAGGUAUGCAAAACGUUCUGUCUGAGAAGACUUGAAAAUCUACUUGGAAAUUUCUAGGAAAGCUUUCCUUGCUCUUAAAAUGUGAUGCAUAAAAAGAAACAGUACUGCUUCUGAAUCCUUCCUGAGUUCAUUAGGGGAGCUAAGUAGAGAUGACAUGGCCGGAAGAUGUAAAACAUUCAGGUGUCGAUUAACAUUAUUAAGCUACCAAAUUAGUCCAUUUUAAAGGUACAUUACCGUAAAAACUUUAUGUGACGGCCGGGCGCGGUGGCUCACGCCUGUAAUCCCAGAACUUUUGGAGGCCGAGGCAGGCGGAUCACGAGGUUAGGAGAUCCGGUCCAUCCUGGCUAACACGGUGAAACCCUGUCUCUACUAAAAACACAAAAAAGUAGCCGGGCUUGGUGACGGGCUCCUGUAGU